GGAGAUAUUCUGUUAUGACCUGGAACAUACAGAUACUAUACUAUACUGUAGGUAUUCUGUUAUGGCCUGGAACAUACAGAUACUAUACUAUACUGUAGGUAUUCUGUUAUGGCCUGGAACAUACAGAUACUAUACUAUACUGUAGGUAUUCUGUGAUGAUACUGUAGUAUUUAAUAUCACUCCCACAUGAUUCUUCCCAAAUGUAGGUGGCAGGUAGCCUUUUGUUUAGAGUGUUGGGCCAGUAACACGGUGAAAAAUAUGUUGUACAGUACAUACCACAGUACAGUACUAUGAAUUGUACACUUGACCUCAUUCGCACUGUUCUCACUGAUCCAGUAUCAAUGAUUCUGACCAUGAAACUCAUGGGCCGUGUUCCGUAUAUGUAUGUUCCACGUCAUAACAGAAUAUCUACAGUAGUAUCUAUAUGUUCCAGGUCAUAACAUAAUAUCUACAGAAGUAUCUGCAUGUUCCACGUCAUAACAUAAUAUCUACAGUACUAUCUGUAUGUUCCA
Molecule: long non-coding RNA, 512 nt
Filed under: Salmo salar (Atlantic salmon)
Lineage: Eukaryota; Metazoa; Chordata; Actinopteri; Salmoniformes; Salmonidae
Description: lncRNA (ENSSSAG00000116634.1)
Source: RNAcentral